Mustela lutreola (European mink) is the source of this 8760-nucleotide long non-coding RNA. RefSeq lists it as uncharacterized. The transcript has 4 exons. The record is from RefSeq and is a predicted model, not a curated record. NCBI's taxonomy places the organism in Eukaryota, Metazoa, Chordata, Mammalia, Carnivora, Mustelidae.
ACAAGAUCUAGACCAGCAAGACACAGGCAAAUACCUUGGUGAAUUCUUCCAUAUCUAAGGAACACAAUUCAUUUAUAUAAUGCUCUUGAAGUGGAUAAAAUCCCAAAAUUCUAAAAAGGAAGGCAAACUAUGAAAAACUGAUUUUGAAAAAUAGCCUCUAGGGCGCCUGGGUGGCUCAGUGGGUUAAGCCGCUGCCUUCGGCUCAGGUCAUGAUCUCAGGGUCCUGGGAUCGAGUCCCGCAUCGGGCUCUGCUCAGCGGGGAGCCUGCUUCCUCCUCUCUCUCUGCCUUCCUCUCUGCCUACUUGUGAUCUCUCUCUGUUGAAUAAAUAAAUAAAAUCUUUAAAAAAAAAAAAAAGAAAGAAAAAUAGCCUCUAAAGGAUUCAGAUUUUAUUACUCCCCAAAUUACAGAAAGGACCAGUGACCACCUCCAUGGGAAUAAGCCUGAACCACUGUUUUUGCACUAAUAGGAGCUGAUGGGUUGACUGAGGGUCAGUUCAUAGCAGUUGACUAGCACCUAUGAAGGAACGUUUACUUGCUGUCUUGAGACAGACUGUAGGCGCUCUACCAUAGCAAGUGGUAACACACACACAAAAUCUAUGACUUGCAACAAAAGAUGGCAGGGAAGACUUGCAAGCAUACUAUGGUAAGGUUGUUAUGCUGUAUGUGAGGUGGUGUAGUGUAUUUCAAGGUAGGCUGUAACAAAUUUUAGAUUAUAAAUCCUUGGGUGACAGCUAGACAUAGUUUUAAAGGAAAAAUAAUAGAGGUAAAAUAUACAUCAGAAAUUACAUUUUUGGCAACUUUUAUACUCCUGGUAACAUUUUUCAGAUGUCACAUUUUUUUCAAAAUUCCUUUGAAGUGCAGAUGAGGAAGAAUUUGGCUGCAAGCCCUAGUGCAGAGAGGCAAGCAGUAUGAUGUCGAGGCAGCUCUGUGUAGACAUGGGGAUGAAAUAAGAGGGGGUGAAAGAGUGAAGGGUAAGGGAUACUUUCUUAUAUCCUCAUCCCCAUUCUAGGAUAUCCUAGGAGCCAAAAACACAAUGGGGGAAUAAGCAGAGUUACUAGAAACAAGCAAGUAAGAUUGGAAAAAAAUCUAGAGUACAAAGACUUGUUCCUUCCCUUGCAGGAGGCAGUAGCUUAAGAAGAUUUAAGUAUUGGUCCCAGAGCAACACAAGUUGACCACAGUGCAAGAGAAGUGGUGCGAAAUGCAGUUGGGUAGGGACUGGAUUGGUGAGACCCUCUUCCACCCCUCCCUGGCCUAAGGAGUUGGUUGGCAGAAAACCCCCAGUUCUCAUAUGGCCCUCGGGGGAUGCAGAAGAUGGCUAAAGAGGAAGAGGCAGCAGUACUCCUGACCGGAUGGGAGUGACCAAAGCUCCAGGAUCAGUCCUCACACACUGGUGAUGUUGAGACCUCAGACCACUCAUUAUAAUCUGCACAAAAGACUUGGUUGUGCCUGAAAACUAGGAGACUCAAGUCAUACCUCUACUACUGUCAAGAGAAAGCUUGCAGAAAAGAAAAAAGACAAGGAAGACUCUUCAUUCACAUCUUGCCUGCACCCAGAUGGCUCCAGCAGGGUGAAGGAGAAUGAGAACAAGGAGAAACUCUGGAAGAAGAUUUCAAGCAAAAGAGACUAAGGAUUAAUUGAACCUUUUCUGCACUCCAUUGAAAUGGAUCAUGGGAAUCUGGAUCUAGGUAUUCCUACUGUUUCUUAGUUGCUCUGUUUCUGACCCUGGGGUAACCAGGAACCUCACCGAGAUCAAGCACCUACCUUGCCAUUUACAAUCUCUAAUCCAAUGGCAUCUACUUUGGCGCUGCUGAUCCCCAGAAGGACACCGUUUUCAGAGGUGGUACGAAAUUCCAGUGUGAUGUUUACAUCUGAUCGGACUUUGUAGCCUUCCUUCACUGAAGAAUACAAAGGUAACCUCCAGUUAGGGGUGAGCCUGGCCCAAGAAGGCUCAGGGUCAAAGAGGUCAUGGGCUGGCUGGCUGUGCAUUUUGGCUCCUGGCUCAGGAAGCCUGGCUCUAGCUCUUUCAUCCUCACCAGCAAGUCACCUCUGAGCCUCAGCUUCCUCAUCUGUAAGAUGAAGUGAUGCUCUUAAAGAAGACCUAUGCCAUCAUCAGGCUUAAGCCAGACUAGAGUCAGGGCAGGCCCAUCCUCUCAUCUAGAGCCACAGAGGGAAAAAGCAGAAGGAUUUGAUCCAUAGAGUCUCACCAUCAUCUAGCCAGGAACAGUCCAUUCUGUUUUCCCAAUACUGGGUAUGUCAUCAUUUACUGAGAAGAUUAGCAUGCACACAGGAUUUUUUAAAGUGGGGUGUAAUGAAAUGGAUAUUUUAUUUAGGUAACAGGAAAACUGAAAAACCAAACUGGGGAUAUGUAGCAGGCAAUCGUUCAGUCCAGGGUUAAAGCGGAAUUGGGACUGAAAGAAAGAUGUGUGCUAGCUCUUCCCUCUGCCCACCCACCCACCCCUAAUCUCCUACCAGAGCCUCCCUGGUUCCCUUUGGUAGAAAGCAGAACAGAGGUAAGAGGAGCAUGGUCCUGAGUGCAAGUAGGAGUUUAACAGUAGGAGUUUAACCAAAAAGCCUUGAGGAAUUUGCAUUCUAAGGCAUUUUUGACAUUUAAAUUCCUCUACUUAGGAUCAGUAUUUUUAAUAAUCUCAAUGGAGUCAUUUUUUUCAUCAGACCUGACUUGAUUUGGCUGGUCUGGGUAUUUUAUGCUGAUUUUUGUCAAAGGCAUUUAUUAACUUGGGCAGUGACAAUAUGCCUUACAUAAUUCAGGGGAAGUACAGAUGAAACCAGUAUCGCAUGCGUGCCCUCUGCCAGGAGGUGCAGCAUUGCUGGUGGGAGUGAGCCUGCAUCAGGCCAUCUGGAUAGCAUGCAAGGGAGAAGGCUUUUGUAUUGGAAGUUGAGAAAUCUGGAUAAACUGGAACACUUAACUCACUGUUGUCUUGCUGCAGGUCUGUCCAGGAGGCCUGUCCUAGCAUUUCAUUCUUGGAUCAAUAUCAGAGUGCAGGCUAAUAAACCCAAAGAUUUCUUUCAUGUUGAUAAUACAUACCAAGAGCUGCAUAUCCACUUCCUUCAAAGAAAGUUCCUUCUUGGACCGCUGCAUAGCACCUAGUUACUGAAAAUGCAGACACUGGCCUUUCCUUGUCCAGCUGUUUGCCAUUGACUGUCACCUCCCCAAUGCAGGCAGGGACACUAUGGGUGAUCUAAAACAAAUGACAGGACAAUAGAUGCUCUAAGUAUAAUAAAAGUAUAAUGAGAAGGCCAGUUUUUCCUGUUUCACCAAAACAUUAAAAUAUUAGCUUUUGGUUUUUAAAAUCAGAUUUCCACAAUAGUCUACAUAAACAUCUAACUGAAAGAAAGCUAGUAGGAUUUGGCUUUCCGUAAAGGUGUUUUCUAUAAUUUGGGUUAAGUAGUGUGGAAUUCAAGAAUGCUGAGUUUUCUAAUCUGCAAAUACAAAUCCACUAGUUUUCCUGAAUUGUACCAGGGCUAAUGGCUGUGGAAAGGGAAAUGUUCAUUAACUAACAGGUAGAAAAGUCUGGCUGAGCUUCAAGGGCUUCUAAGGGGAAACCGAAACACAAAAUCUGGGGACAAGAUUUUAAAAGGUCUGUAUCACGCAGCCAAGCCCUAGUCUCAAACAAAAUAACUUAACAUUUUCCUUUACAAAAGAAAAAAGACAAAAACACAGCCACAAUAAAGGUAAAAUGGGCUGCAGAAAAAGCUGCUUACAUUCCCAAUGUUCCUGGCCCUGUAGUCAGAGGGAAGGCCUCCUAGGUACAGCUUUCCUUCCACAUCCAGCAUGGUCCCAUCUCCCACAGCAGUCACCGUGGGGGCCUCCUGGCCAUCGACCAUCAUGAAGCCCUUUCUUUUAAAGUGCUCUGUCUUGACCUAGAACAAAAUGAGAAUAUUCAGUUUUUAAGGAAUCUGAGAAAACAACAGAUAUUUGUUUGCAACAUCUCUUCAUUAUUGCUAUAAAUAGCCUGAAUGAGACCCUAAAGGAUGGCUCCAAUUUCCACACAGUUGGUGCUGAAGAGCCAAAGCCUGGCAGGAGAUGGGGCAGGCAGAGGUAAAGCACAUAUUAGAACAGGAAGUACUCCCAAGUCCUAGUUAUAAGAAAGCAAAUGCUGUGAUCUAGGGGUGGGCUCAUUCACCCCACAGGUGGGUUUGAUUUACUUCUCAUAAGUCGAGAACACUUUUGGAACCUUUCAUUCAUUCCACCACUGUCUGCUGAGUGCCUGUUAGGUGUCAGGCACCGAGCUAAGCCCUGGUCAUACUUCAGGAUUUCGCAAAGGUCCCAGCCUGCAAGGAUCUUACAUGCUGUAGGGUAGAUAGUACACACAAAGCAAGCUAUAUCAUUUUCAUGACUGUGAACUGGAUGGAAUAAAACUUAGCAUGAGUGAUUAAAAGCUUCCUGAGAGCAUACCGUGUGCCAUCUGCCAUCAUUGAUCAAUGCAGGGUGGGAAACUGUUGUUCUCCCUUUCCCAAGAUCAAACAGGAAGUGAAGGUAGCCCCCAUGCAGCUGGAGUGUGGCGUAAUCAACUUGGUUCUGAUGAGCCAUGUAGUAAAUCAGACCGCUGGAGGCGAAUGUUCGGAUACUUAGCUGAACUGAAAGCCUAGAAGAAAACAAGAGCUCGGCCCUCAGAAAGGAAUAAACUUUCACUUUUAAAAUUAACCUGAGAAAGAGAACCCAAUCAUUGUUUCAGUCUUUACAUUGAAAGGUCUCAGCAGAGAAUCAUUCAUUCAUCCAUCUGUUCAUCCAAUUAAUGGUUACCCUAUAUGUUUAAUUGCCAGGAACUGUUCUAAAGGCUAAGGCUGAAGCAGUGAACAUAGAGGAAUGUCCUUUCUCCUACAAAACUAAUACCAGAAAUCUAUCAGAUAAAACUGGGUCAAAAGAGGCAAACUGGUGGGUGGUUCUAUUAUGUAGGAAGGCAGGCAGGCAGCUCUGAAAAGAUGGUAUUUCCACUGAGCUCUGAAUGACAGGAGCAAGCCCUACAAAGCCCAGCAGGGUAGACCUGCCUUACGUUUUUGGACAGCACAGAGUAUGUGAAAACAAUGGCCUGAUUUGGCAGGACAGCCAGGAAUCCCCUAGCAGAGCUCUAGGGACACGGCAGCACACAGCAGUGGACAGAAGCUGGCAUCUGGGUGGCUGUUGCAGAAGGGAGCACAACAUCACCAAAGCACUCAGGGACAAGGAAAGGAGAGUGUGGCCCUGCCCUUGUGGAUGAGGGGCUCUGGGAGGCAGUAUUUCCAUCUCUACUGCAGUGGGGAGUCAGUCCUGAGGGGAAUGGGCAGGGCUUGACUGACCUCUUCAAAGGAACCUAUGCUGUGACGAAGCCCUGUAUGAGGCCAUGGGGCCAGCAGGCAUUAGCAGGCACCUGCUGCAACCAUCCACAGAGGCGGGGUCCUGGUGGCUUCAAUGGGGGUCUUAUGGGGGAUGCAGAGGGGAUGAACUAAUUCAUGAAAUGUUCUGGAAGAAGAAGCAAUAGGACCUGUACAUGGACUGAAUUUGCAGAGAGAGGGAAUGAAAAUAACCAUCUCUAGGUUAGGGUCCUAGGCAUCGAGAGAAAGGGUGCUGAUGUCUACUGAAAUAGCAAAGCUGGGACAGCAGGUUUAGAGGAAGACUGAAUUCUUUCUUGGUAUGUUGGUAUGGAGAAGCCAGUUGGGGAUACACCUCCACAGUCCUAAGCAGAGGUCAGGGCUAGACGUGUGGGUGCUGGUACAAAUAGAGGAUAUUUUAAAGCCACUGAAAUAUGGAAGUUCCCCUGAGAGAAAACACAGAAGAGGGCCGGGCCUUCUCUGAUCGAAGAGGAACCAGCAGAGGAGACCAAGCAGAGAAGGGCAGAGAGAGCAGGAAAUCAGGAGCGUGUGGGGCUAAGACAGCCAAGUACCUGUGAGAGUGCUGAGGUCCCAGCAAAGAAGGGCUCUCGGGAUGCGGGCACAGCAGGUCUGGGAUAACUGUGGCAAGAGCAAUCAAGAAGCGAGGGGAGGCUGACUGGGCUGGUGGAGAAGGACAAGAGGGGAGAAAGGCAGACUGCCACAGGAGCCAGCCUCCGUUUUUUUGUUUUUAAAUAAGGCAGUUCUUUCAAGAAGUCUUGAAAUAACAGCCAGGAUACUGUGCAGGUAGGGUGGGAUAUGGAGUCUCUCAGAGUUGAAGUUAGGAGCUACCAGAGGGAAUGGUUACCAGCAUAAACACAGUGUCUGGGUUUGAAUCCCAUUCUGCUGUGUGCCCUGAGCACGUGACUUGACUUGCCUGUGCCUCAGUUUCCUCAUCUAUAAAAGAGCAAAUAAAGAGCAUACCUUCCUCAUAGAAUAGUUAUGAGUCAGGGGGUACAGUUAAAUACUGAGGGACAAGGAUCUACUCCUCUUGUUAGCACUGAGGCUGCUGAGGGUGAUGGCUCAGAGAAGCGAUGGGCUCCAGAGGGCAGAGAGGGGACAAUAGGACCCCUCCUCUGUGGUAGGAGGGGAAGAGGUAUAAGGUGCAGACAAAGGCAGGCUUCUCUUUCUGGUAGUGGACAGAUGAGGGAGUUCUCUGUGUUCACUGAGGUGUCAUCGGCUGGGGCAAGAAGAGAGGCUGUGGGGAUUUUGAGUUUUGAGAUGAGAGAAGCUAUAAGGAGUAAAAAAAAAAGUGAACAUAUUCGAUAACAGUACCAGCUGCCCAUGUGAUUUGGGAGUUCCAUCUGAAUUCACUGGCUUCACGUCCAACCAGGGAGGGAAGAGAUACACACUUCUACAACCUUGACCACCAGUUUGGGUCCUGGCAUGGAUUAGCUAAGUAGCAGUUCUACCCAGGGCCAGUGUGCAAAGGAACACCAGUCAUAAAGGAAUUGGGACCAUCCGGGUCGGGGGUAAACUGUGCUGGGGGGCUGCAGGGAGUAGUGCUGAGAAAGCAUGAGGGCUUUGAGGUCUUGAUACAGUUGAGGAGCUGCUGGGAUGGGAAGCAGCAGAAAGGAGGUGGCGGCUGAUUAAUAGGAUGCUUCAGAUAGAGAUUUUGGAGGUGGGAUGGGUGUUUACAAAGUAGGGUAGAGGAUGACCAUGGGGAGAGGGUGGCUGAGGAAGACCCUCUAACAGGAGCCAGAGGAUUUGGAAGGUCAGAUGUGGAGCUGCUGAAUUCAUGGAGAAUGAUGGCCUGAGCUGUGGAACAAAGACGAUGGGUACAGUCUGAAGGGUUUGGAGAAGUGGACAAAUGUUGAAUGUGGGCUGGCUAAGCCAAGCAAGGGUCCCUGGGGACAAGUAGGUGUGAGGGCGAGAAGAACCGGGCAGAUUAGUAUAUGGCACCAAGGAGUUUGAGGGGUGCAGUGAGAAAGUUUGGGGGAAUAAUUUGAUCAGAUUAGUAAGUGCUUACAAUAGAGUAGGGUUGAAAAUCCAGAUGCUGAUAGAUCCAAAGAACUUGAGAUUCUAGAACAAGAGGAAUUUAGAGAGAGAACCUACCCAUGUGCUUUCCUAGAUUCAUACACAGGGGCAGCAACCCGCCUUCCUCAGAAGGGGUAAGAACAAACCACAGGGACUCCACUGAACCACAUCUGAAGCAUCGGUUGUGCACAAGGCCUGCAUUCCUGUUCUCUGCCUUCUCACCGCUGAGGAAUACCUCCCUGUUCAUCUCUCUGAGACGCCUAAUAAAGACUUCAGAACAAUACCCACCUCUUUCUGACAGCCAGCUGAUUGAAAGGCAACACGAAAUGGCUGCUUUGUGUGAGGCCAAACUGGUUUGCAUCUGCCAGGAAGUCAUGAAUUACACUUGCUCUCCUUCCCUUCACUCUGUAGCCCUUGCAACAUGUCCCGUUUAUAUGUACCCUCUUGGCACUUUCUGAGGACAUGGCUGUGAAUGGCACAGAAACAUUUCUGCCUUGUGGAUUUCCCAGCCUCAUCGCUUUCAGGAGGAAGAAGACGAAUCAAUUGUGUAUUCAUAAACAGAGAACUGGGUGAAUAAAUUAAUCAACUGUACAAAUGAGUAAACCAAGGCUCUGACAUUAGAAUUGUGCUGAAACCCAAUGUACUUUUAUUCUUUUACAUUUCAAGGACUCUUAAGAGGUUCUUUCACAGAGGACACGGUGACCCUCAAAGAUCCAAGUCCUUGUUUGAGGUCUCAAGGCAAAAUCAGCCACCCAGCUAGGAGGGGAACUUCAGCCUCCUGAUGCCCCCCGCAAACUCUGGUUCCAUACCCGCCCCCCCCCCCGACCCCCACAGAUCAGCAUAGCAUCUGACCCACCAGCACUCCUACCUACGCAGAGGAUGACUGAGGAAGAAAUAACUGCCUGUGGGCACAUGUCACUUCUCUUCCUCCUCAUGAGCUCCACAGAGGAAACAGACUAAGAGGAGUUCAUUAGACAGUCAUUGUUUUAGGAGGAACUGUUAAUAAUCUGAAGCUGUAAGGAGCCCAGCUAGAAAGGUUCCUUGAAAGCGGUGAACUCAAGACAACAAGAAACUUGCAUCACAAAAUCUCUGUUCCCUGGAAUUCAUGUCACAAGUGUAUUUGACCUCUGAGGUUUACUGAUAGUCCUAUAGAGCUAAUGUUCAAUGGUUUUUGUUUUGUUUUGUUUUUUUCUUGUUUUUUUAAUUCUAGGAUUACCAGAUCUAUCCAUCAUUCUAAUCCAGUAAAAUCCAUGUGGGUGACUAUUAUGAUAGAACAAUGGGGUUCACUUUUUAUUCAAAAACUUAGGAUUUUAGGCAAUCUCAAACAGCAGAGUUAGCAGAUCAUUGUCAGUACUCAGCAAUAAAAGAUUUCUAGGAAGUGCAGAAACAUGUUGACGCUCGGUUACACUUACUCCAUAU